RNAcentral lists this ribosomal RNA (427 nucleotides) under uncultured bacterium. RNAcentral's name for it is "bacterial SSU rRNA". It matches the Rfam family "Bacterial small subunit ribosomal RNA", at positions 30 to 458 of the family's 1533-position model. The record is from RNAcentral.
AUUGAACGCUGGCGGCAUGCCUUACACAUGCAAGUCGAACGGCAGCACGGGAGCAAUCCUGGUGGCGAGUGGCGAACGGGUGAGUAAUAUAUCGGAACGUGCCCAGUCGUGGGGAUAACGUAGCGAAAGCUACGCUAAUACCGCAUACGAUCUAUGGAUGAAAGCGGGGGAUCGCAAGACCUCGCGCGAUUGGAGCGGCCGAUAUCAGAUUAGGUAGUUGGUGAGGUAAAGGCUCACCAAGCCGACGAUCUGUAGCUGGUCUGAGAGGACGACCAGCCACACUGGGACUGAGACACGGCCCAGACUCCUACGGGAGGCAGCAGUGGGGAAUUUUGGACAAUGGGCGCAAGCCCUGAUCCAGCAAUGCCGCGUGCAGGAUGAAGGCCUUCGGUUGUAACUUGCUUUUGUUACGGAACGAAACGGUAGA